This 495-nucleotide ribosomal RNA is filed under the name uncultured Sphingobacteriales bacterium. Its description in RNAcentral is "bacterial SSU rRNA". It matches the Rfam family "Bacterial small subunit ribosomal RNA", at positions 884 to 1382 of the family's 1533-position model. The record is from RNAcentral. Lineage: Bacteria; Pseudomonadati; Bacteroidota; Sphingobacteriia; Sphingobacteriales.
CCAGCCCGCUCAGAAACUCAAAGGAAUUGACGGGGCCCGCACAAGCGGUGGAGCAUGUGGUUUAAUUCGAUGAUACGCGAGGAACCUUACCUGGGCUCAAAUGUAUGUUGACGUAUUCUGAAAGGGAUACUUCUUCGGACAAUAUACAAGGUGCUGCAUGGUUGUCGUCAGCUCGUGCCGUGAGGUGUCGGGUUAAGUCCCAUAACGAGCGCAACCCCUAUCAUUAGUUGCCAUCAGGUCAAGCUGGGGACUCUAAUGAAACUGCCUACGCAAGUAGUGAGGAAGGUGGGGAUGACGUCAAAUCAGCACGGCCCUUACGUCCAGGGCUACACACGUGCUACAAUGGCCGGUACAAAGGGCAGCUACCUGGUGACAGGAUGCUAAUCUCAAAAGCCGGUCUCAGUUCGGAUCGGAGUCUGCAACCCGACUCCGUGAAGCUGGAAUCGCUGGUAAUCGCGCAUCAGCCAUGGCGCGGUGAAUACGUUCCCGGGCCUU